UACGAAGGGGGCUAGCGUUGCUCGGAAUCACUGGGCGUAAAGCGCACGUAGGCGGCUUUUUAAGUCAGGGGUGAAAUCCUGGAGCUCAACUCCAGAACUGCCUUUGAUACUGAGAAGCUUGAGUCUGGGAGAGGUGAGUGGAACUGCGAGUGUAGAGGUGAGAUUCGUAGAUAUUCGCAAGAACACCAGUGGCGAAGGCGGCUCACUGGCCCGGUACUGACGCUGAGGUGCGAAAGCGUGGGGAGCAAACAGG
This 253-nucleotide ribosomal RNA is filed under the name uncultured bacterium. RNAcentral describes it as "partial 16S ribosomal RNA". It matches the Rfam family "Bacterial small subunit ribosomal RNA", at positions 524 to 776 of the family's 1533-position model. The record is from RNAcentral.